Anopheles gambiae (African malaria mosquito) is the source of this 846-nucleotide long non-coding RNA. RefSeq lists it as uncharacterized. NCBI's taxonomy places the organism in Eukaryota, Metazoa, Arthropoda, Insecta, Diptera, Culicidae. The transcript has 2 exons. The record is from RefSeq and is a predicted model, not a curated record.
GCUACGCACGGAAACUCCAGGCUGCACAGAAACAACUGGAGCAUGCCACCUCGUUCCUCGUGGAAAUUGGAAGGCUCAUGGCAUUCCAAGGAAAGAUUGCUGGAGAGCCUGGAAAUGUGGGGUGUUCAGUCAAAGUCAGGUGCGCAUGGAACGUGGUGCAUGAAGUAAAGCUCCACCUUCCAGCAUGGAAGUUCAAUUGAUUGUCCCGUCGUUUACGUGAUCGUUUUGGUUGCAGGCGCUGCAUGAAACGAAAAUGCAGUAAGGAUAGCCAAGGAAGAUGUACACAUGUAUUGUUUGUAUUUUGCUGCCGUCUUGUUCUAGGUUCUGGUAGAUGUAUUUAAUUACGUCACACUCUGGUUCAGUAGAAGAAUCAUCUGUCAACGACCUCUCGGUAGACGAUGUUGCUUGUGGAGACACCUUCCUCGUCAGCGCGUUUCGGGUUCGGUAUCAGCACAGCAAUGUUCGCUCGUGAUGUCACCCGCGAGAGUGCAACGUAUAGCUGGCCAUGGGCGAAAACAUCUUGCGGCAGAUAUAGGCCCAAAUGGUGAAGCGAUUGCCCUUGCGACUUGUUGAUGGUCAUCGCAAAGCACACUUGCACCGGAAACUGUUUACGGCGGAUCUGGAACGGGUGACCCUUAUCGUUGCUGUCACAGAAGAUCCGUGGAAGCAGGACGUCUUCGUCUCUCCGCGUGCCUGUCAGAAUUUUAGCGUGUAAACAGUUUCGCUUUAGGCCUACAAUUUGCAAACGCGUACCGUUACACAAUCCCAUGUCGGAAUUAAGAUUGCGCAAUAAAAGUACUGGUGCAAAUCGUUUCAGCCGCAAGCGAUGCACUGGGAUGCCGCUGA